UGGGAACGUACCUUUCGGUUCGGGACAACCCAGGGAAACUUGGGCUAAUACCGUAUGAUGACGUAAGUCCAAAGAUUUAUCGCCUAAGGAUGAGCCCGCGUAGGAUUAGCUUGUUGGUGAGGUAAAGGCUCACCAAGGCGACGAUCCUUAGCUGGUCUGAGAGGAUGAUCAGCCACACUGGGACUGAGACACGGCCCAGACUCCGUACGGGAGGCAG
This 217-nucleotide ribosomal RNA is filed under the name uncultured bacterium. RNAcentral describes it as "partial 16S ribosomal RNA". It matches the Rfam family "Bacterial small subunit ribosomal RNA", at positions 118 to 351 of the family's 1533-position model. The record is from RNAcentral.